This is a non-coding RNA of Lolium perenne, 217 nucleotides long. The record is from RefSeq and is a predicted model, not a curated record. Lineage: Eukaryota; Viridiplantae; Streptophyta; Magnoliopsida; Poales; Poaceae.
GGGCCAGCCUCAAGACCAAGGCCGCCGAGACCCUUGCCCAGCUGGCGACGCUGGAGGAUGCUGAGAAGACGGUUGAGGAGCGGCGCACCUUCUUGUACAACCAGGUGGUGACCAGCUACCACAAGGCUAAGAUCGAGCGAGCCGGCUUGGCUCGCGAGCUGGAGGCUGUCAAGGUUGAGGCCGCCAAGGUCCCGCAGCUGGAGUCGGAUCUCCGAGC